Molecule: ribosomal RNA, 441 nt
Filed under: uncultured bacterium
Lineage: Bacteria
Description: partial 16S ribosomal RNA
Rfam family: Bacterial small subunit ribosomal RNA
Source: RNAcentral
CCUACGGGAGGCUGCAGUAGGGAAUCUUGCGCAAUGGGCGAAAGCCUGACGCAGCAACGCCGCGUGAAUGAUUAAGUAUUUCGGGGUGUAAAGCUCUGUCAGUAGGGACGAAAAUCGACGGUACCUACAGAGGAAGCACAGGCUAACUCCGGGCCAGCAGCAGCGGUAAUACGGCGGGUGCAAGCGUUGUCAGGAAUCAUGGGGCGUAAAGAGUUCGUAGGUGGCAGAGUAAGUCUGGUGUUAAAUGCAGAGGCUCAACUUCGGUACGGCACUGGAGACUGGGAAGCUGGAGUGCGGGAGAGGUAAGGGGAAUUCCUGGUGUAGCGGUGAAAUGCGUAGAUAUCAGGAGGAACAUCGGUGGCGUAGGCGCUUUACUGGACCGUAAUUGACGCUGAGGAACGAAAGCCGGGGUAGCAAAUAGGAUUAGAUACCCUUGUAGUC